GCACAUUUUGAGUAGGAUCAACACCACAAGGGUCGUGGUCAAGGAAGCACAUCUUAGGAGUCAUCUUUGGGCGUGGCCUGUACAGGAAACUUGAAUCUGCAUUUUCCCCAUUACAAGAACUCAGUAGCCUUUGGCUUUCCUCCCUGCUCAGACACCAUCCAGAGUAGAGCUUCCAGCUUCUUCACUGCCCAGCCAUGACCUUGAUGAUCAUUCUACUGCUGGGAACACCCUUCACGCUGAGGAGAACCGGAGCUCAGUCUGUGACCCAGCUUGACGGCCACACCACUGUCUCUGAAGGCGCUGCCCUGGAGCUGAGGUGCAACUAUACCUAUAGUGGAACACCUUAUCUCUUUUGGUACGUCCAAUACCCUGGCCAAAGCCUUCAGUUUCUCCUCAAGUACAUGUCAGGGGCACCCUUGGUUAAAGGCCCCAAAGGCUUUGAGGCUGAAUUUAAGAAGAGUGAAACCUCCUUCCACCUGCGGAAGCUGUCAGCCCAGUGGAGUGACACAGCCCAGUACUUCUGUGCUCUGAGCGACACAGUGCCUGGGACUGCAGGGGAAGCUGAACACAAACCUCCUGAGACAAACGUGGCAACUCACCUCAUCUGUUUUCAGCAAGGCCUCAUUUGAUGAAAGCAAGUGGGGCGGCGGAGUGGAGCCACUGAGAGUGCUUGGCUUCUGAGAAGCAGCAGACACUUCAGCAUAUUCCUUCCUCUGCUACUGGGUCAUGUCAGACAAGGUCUAGAACAGACAGCCUUGGAUAUUCUUGUA
Molecule: non-coding RNA, 770 nt
Organism: Oryctolagus cuniculus (rabbit)
Lineage: Eukaryota; Metazoa; Chordata; Mammalia; Lagomorpha; Leporidae
Source: the annotation of a RefSeq genome assembly